This 923-nucleotide long non-coding RNA is filed under the name Equus caballus (horse). Its description in RNAcentral is "lncRNA (ENSECAG00000053537.1)". Lineage: Eukaryota; Metazoa; Chordata; Mammalia; Perissodactyla; Equidae. The record is from RNAcentral.
GGUGGUUCCGUGUGGUGCCUCAGAUAGACUUUGAUUAUUUGUUCCUUCUGACAACUGCUAGGAAGGAGCCCAGAACAGCUGCUACCUUGGACAAAUCUCAAAGACCUUGUCGACGAAAAUAAUCCAUAACCAAUCUGUAAAUGAAAAUUUGGGUGAGUUUAUUCUGAGCUGAAAUCUGAGGACCAUGGCCUGGGGCCUUUCUUCCCAAAGGAAGAAAGGGCACCAAAGAAAUGAGGUAUACAGAAUGGUUAUAUACCCCCAAAGAGGGUGCUUUACAUAUGAUUGAAAUGUCCCUCCCACAAUAGUCACAAGAUUGCCCUGUCUGCACAGCGCUUGAUGGACACAGCAGGUAGUGGGUCUGCUAUCUUCAUGGGUGUAGCAGGAGGCAAGUCUAUUGUCUCGAGCUGGGCGGUCACAGCCCCUGCAACCACCAAUCUGUUAUCUGUUCCUGUGAAAUCAGUUGUUUGUUUAGAUUCUGCAUCCUACUCAGCUUUUACCACCAAGUGUCUAUGAUCUAGGUCAGUCAGGACACAGUCAAGGGAUGUCGGAGCUGCUGUGGUCAGCGAGGGGACAAUAAAAAAGGAAGUAAGAGGAAGACCGCAUAUAGAGAAGUGAGACAAUACUCCUGACUUAGAGCAGAAAACCUGGAGAUCCCUUUCACUAUUGUGUUUCUAAAAGCCUUGAAGAAUUUCUGUCUCACUCCAAGUGCCGCUGGAUGCCAUAUAUGGACAUUUCUCCAAUCAUGAAAUUAUGGCCUACAGAAAUAAAAAUGACCUCUACAGAAAAAAAUGGCCUCUAUAUAAGGUUGUUUUUGCAUAUAAUGGGCUACAUUUACUCAUGAUACUGAAUUUCUUCUCAUUCAAAAAUAUAACUAAGUCACAUAAAAUAAAACACUAGAAUUAUUGGUAUAACUGUUAUUUCAG